Long non-coding RNA from Pogonomyrmex barbatus (red harvester ant), 817 nucleotides. The record is from RefSeq and is a predicted model, not a curated record. NCBI's taxonomy places the organism in Eukaryota, Metazoa, Arthropoda, Insecta, Hymenoptera, Formicidae.
AAAUAUAUUUAUAAAGUAUCGAUAAUUAUAAUUUUGUAUAAAACAUGUUGACAGAAAUGAAGGUAAAGAUUGCAUAUUGUAUAAGAAAUUUAUCUAUAUUUAUUUGCACGACAUACUUCAGUGAAGAAUAUAAAUGCAGUGAUAGCAAGUGAUUUACAAAGGAAAGAAUACUGGUAAAAUGUGUGGUAGUGACAAUUCCAAGAUAUUUUUAUACACAAACUUGUGUACAUAUAGAUAAAAUUAGUAUCAUCUCCCGUCAACAGAAUAUGCAAGGAAAAUUAAAUAGCUGAUAAUUUCGAAUAUUUAAUACAGAAACUCUUGUUCUUUUUUUUCAUCUUGGUUCUUCAGACAUAGAGGAUCAGUAAGAAGAAUAAGAUCAAAACAAUGCAUUUGAAAGUAUAUACCAUUUAGUUAUCCCAUUUACAUUAUACAUAUCUUCAUCUGUAUUUUCAGGAAAUGCUUCUAAAGAUCUCAGAUAAGAGAACCUAUAUAAAAAGAUAAACAAUUGUAAUUGUGUAUGUAUACAUUGAAUGCCAAGUCCAUCAGUAUUUGAGUACUGUCUUGGUUGAAGAUAAUUUUUCUAUAUAACAUACAAGUUUCCUAGUGAAGUAAACUUUGUAAACGCAAAACUUCAAUGUAACAGAUCGAGCGUUCGAGAACGCUGUCUUCAACAUAGCCCCAAAGUCGGCCGAGAGAAGCGAGACUGCCGACAACUUCUACAAUCACUUUCUCCGCGUUGUUCGAAAGCUUACCCAAUAUUUUGAUUAAAAUAUAUUAUGCUCAAACAAAGUAUAGGUAAUUACAUAUCUCUUUCUAA